CGAACGGCCGUCACGGAACCUCGCCUACGCCCGCCUAGCGCCACGACCGUGCUUUCCGUUCGUGGUACCCUUCACCGCUUUGCAACGCUCGCGACACCCGCCCGUUUGCGCGCCCUCGUUCAACCGAACCACCGAAGUCGAGCCGCGCACAACCUCCCGCAAUCCUACCACCGCCAACUACCCAAUAGUCCCCACUACACCCUUCACCCUCUCCUUGUAUCCCCCACCUUCUCACCCUCCUCGUCACGCACUCCCCCCUUCCCUCGUUCCGCGACACCCUCUACUCCCUCGCGCCAUCCUGCGCGUUUCGUCCUUCUCGUUUCCCCUCUCUUGCACUCGUACUACUGUACUGUUUCUCUCUCUCUCUCUCUCUCUCUCUCUCUCUCUCUCUCUCUGUUUUCCUCACUAGCGACUCCUCACUCACUCACUCAUUCACUCACUCUCUUUUUCCCUCGCACGCGCGGUCACUCGUUCUCUUUAUCUUUCUCACGCUCACCAGCUCUCCCACUCUUUCCUUACCCCGCAAGGAACGAAUUGCCAGACUUCUCUCUCUUUCUUCCUAACCAUCGUUUUCUCUUUUUAUCUCCUUGGAAACCUACACAGACGCAUUCUCUCUCGAUUCGUCUUCCUCUUUCUUGCUCCUCACCCUCGAUCACCCUCCAAAAAGGGCACUUAUUUUCGCCCCUUUGUUCUCACGGUUGUGACCAACUUCUCCUUCUCUCUACCUUUCCUUAAACCUGCCACCUCCCCUUGCCUAUACGCCCUCGUUCUUCGGGCUUCUUUCUCGAACACACCCUCUCCCUCUCUACCUCCUAGCUACUUCUUACGUCGUGUUACUGCGCACUCGUUCUGGCAAAGUCGCCACGAGCUCUGUGCAACUAUUCGCAAAGUUGUUACCCAUUGACGACGUUAUGUGCGGUACCAGCGGUUGCGACAGCCGCUUAUCGUUUCUCGUUAUUAUUUUGAUAAAGGAAAAUGCGGGUUAAAGGGGCACCGAGUUUUCUAUUCGAGUUUUUAAAAUGUCGAGCCUCGCGGGAACACAUUUUAAAACGGGCUCGCAACGUGAUAUCGCGUUCACCCUUUUUUAUUUUAUUUUCCCUACGCCUGUUGCCCUUUCUCCGUUUUGCCGUCAAAGUGAUUUUGCUGUUGAAGAAAAAGAAAAAAAGAAAAAAGAUCAAACUUGUACGGCGAGAGAAGGACAAAGAAGAAAAAACACUGCAAGGGUUGGGCAACAGAGGGAUUGGAAAGAAAUUCACGAGCGUGUUUCAAGAUGCCUGUGGAGGAGGUGCGCGUUCAAAGUUACACACGCAACCACGAUUUGCGUCUGCGCACAUUUUUCUGCACAGGCUCGCCAAGCAGCGGCGAAUGAUAGAACGAGACAACCGCUCUCCGCCACGAGGCUGUUUCUCAACUUCUGAGCUGCAAAUGCACAAGUACCAACCACAUUUGCGUAUCCUGGUAGUAGUUUGUCGCUGGUUUAGCUUCCGCUUCGUUCCUCGAGGCUUGUUGCGUAUCCGUGCGGCGAGAAUCGGUGCGUCGUCACGUUGCCAUGGAAAUAAACGCACGUUCGUCCGAUUUCCUCGUUGGAUUAACGUGUGUUGCUUGCGUGUCGUCACCGGAAUUGUUGCGCUAGGCUGACGGCACCUUGACACGUUUACCCCGACACGCGUAUUCUACACUAUUGCAAUAAUGUCGAAACGAUUUCAUUAUCGGCGGCUCUUAUUACGGCGGCGCUCACUAUCUAUUUAUCGAUACGAUCGAUUUGACGACGAAAAGAUCCGAGUCACCGAUUCGUUUCCCGCGCUUUUAACCUCGUACUCGUUUGAAACGU
Molecule: long non-coding RNA, 1831 nt
Organism: Frieseomelitta varia
Lineage: Eukaryota; Metazoa; Arthropoda; Insecta; Hymenoptera; Apidae
Exons: 2
Source: RefSeq, a predicted model, not a curated record